This 868-nucleotide ribosomal RNA is filed under the name Staphylococcus sp. HMSC063F10. RNAcentral's name for it is "bacterial LSU rRNA". It matches the Rfam family "Bacterial large subunit ribosomal RNA", at positions 1 to 865 of the family's 2925-position model. Lineage: Bacteria; Bacillati; Bacillota; Bacilli; Caryophanales; Staphylococcaceae. The record is from RNAcentral.
AGAUUAAGUUAUUAAGGGCGCACGGUGGAUGCCUUGGCACUAGAAGCCGAUGAAGGACGUUACUAACGACGAUAUGCUUUGGGUAGCUGUAAGUAAGCAUUGAUCCAGAGAUUUCCGAAUGGGGAAACCCAGCACAAGUUAUGUUGUGUUAUCGACAUGUGAAUACAUAGCAUGUUAGAAGGCAGACCCGGAGAACUGAAACAUCUUAGUACCCGGAGGAAGAGAAAGAAAAAUCGAUUCCCUGAGUAGCGGCGAGCGAAACGGGAAGAGCCCAAACCAAUAAGCUUGCUUAUUGGGGUUGUAGGACACUCUAUACGGAGUUACAAAGGAAUAUAUUAGACGAAUCAUCUGGAAAGAUGAAUCAAAGAAGGUAAUAAUCCUGUAGUUGAAAAUAUGUUCUCUCUUGAGUGGAUCCUGAGUACGACGGAGCACGUGAAAUUCCGUCGGAAUCUGGGAGGACCAUCUCCUAAGGCUAAAUACUCUCUAGUGACCGAUAGUGAACCAGUACCGUGAGGGAAAGGUGAAAAGUACCCCGGAAGGGGAGUGAAAGAGAACUUGAAACCGUGUGCUUACAAGUAGUCAGAGCCCGUUAAUGGGUGAUGGCGUGCCUUUUGUAGAAUGAACCGGCGAGUUACGAUUUGAUGCAAGGUUAAGCAGGAAAUGUGGAGCCGUAGCGAAAGCGAGUCUGAAUAGGGCGUUGAGUAUUUGGUCGUAGACCCGAAACCAGGUGAUCUACCCUUGGUCAGGUUGAAGUUCAGGUAACACUGAAUGGAGGACCGAACCGACUUACGUUGAAAAGUGAGCGGAUGAACUGAGGGUAGCGGAGAAAUUCCAAUCGAACUUGGAGAUAGCUGGUUCUCUCCGAAAU